AUCCAGCUUGCUGGAUGCUGACGAGCGGCGGACGGGUGAGUAAUGCAUAGGAAUCUGCCCGAUAGUGGGGGAUAACCUGGGGAAACCCAGGCUAAUACCGCAUACGUCCUACGGGAGAAAGGGGGCUCCGGCUCCCGCUAUGGGAUGAGCCUAUGUCGGAUUAGCUGGUUGGUGAGGUAACGGCUCACCAAGGCCACGAUCCGUAGCUGGUCUGAGAGGAUGAUCAGCCACAUCGGGACUGAGACACGGCCCGAACUCCUACGGGAGGCAGCAGUGGGGAAUAUUGGACAAUGGGGGAAACCCUGAUCCAGCCAUGCCGCGUGUGUGAAGAAGGCCCUCGGGUUGUAAAGCACUUUCAGCGAGGAAGAACGCCUAGCGGUUAAUACCCGCUAGGAAAGACAUCACUCGCAGAAGAAGCACCGGCUAACUCCGUGCCAGCAGCCGCGGUAAUACGGAGGGUGCGAGCGUUAAUCGGAAUUACUGGGCGUAAAGCGCGCGUAGGUGGCUUGAUAAGCCGGUUGUGAAAGCCCCGGGCUCAACCUGGGAACGGCAUCCGGAACUGUCAAGCUAGAGUGCAGGAGAGGAAGGUAGAAUUCCCGGUGUAGCGGUGAAAUGCGUAGAGAUCGGGAGGAAUACCAGUGGCGAACGCGGCCUUCUGGACUGACACUGACACUGAGGUGCGAAAGCGUGGGUAGC
This 696-nucleotide ribosomal RNA is filed under the name Vreelandella aquamarina. RNAcentral describes it as "bacterial SSU rRNA". It matches the Rfam family "Bacterial small subunit ribosomal RNA", at positions 73 to 769 of the family's 1533-position model. The record is from RNAcentral. Lineage: Bacteria; Pseudomonadati; Pseudomonadota; Gammaproteobacteria; Oceanospirillales; Halomonadaceae.